Papio anubis (olive baboon) is the source of this 127-nucleotide small nuclear RNA. Its record names the gene U2. It matches the Rfam family "U2 spliceosomal RNA". From Rfam's summary of the family: U2 is a small nuclear RNA (snRNA) component of the spliceosome (involved in pre-mRNA splicing). The record is from Ensembl. Lineage: Eukaryota; Metazoa; Chordata; Mammalia; Primates; Cercopithecidae.
AUACUUUUCCAUGCAAGGCUAAUAGAUUAAAUGGAUUUCUGGAGCAUAGUGAUGCAAUAGGAGCUUGCUCCAUUCACUCUAUGCAUCAACCUGGUAUUUUAGUACCUCCAAGAAUGGUGUGCCCUCU